AGACCCCGUGAACCUUUACUAUAGCUUGACACUGAACAUUGAGCCUUGAUGUGUAGGAUAGGUGGGAGGCUUUGAAGUGUGGACGCCAGUCUGCAUGGAGCCGACCUUGAAAUACCACCCUUUAAUGUUUGAUGUUCUAACGUGGACCCGUAAUCCGGGUUGCGGACAGUGUCUGGUGGGUAGUUUGACUGGGGCGGUCUCCUCCUAAAGAGUAACGGAGGAGCACGAAGGUUGGCUAAUCCUGGUCGGACAUCAGGAGGUUAGUGCAAUGGCAUAAGCCAGCUUGACUGCGAGCGUGACGGCGCGAGCAGGUGCGAAAGCAGGUCAUAGUGAUCCGGUGGUUCUGAAUGGAAGGGCCAUCGCUCAACGGAUAAAAGGUACUCCGGGGAUAACAGGCUGAUACCGCCCAAGAGUUCAUAUCGACGGCGGUGUUUGGCACCUCGAUGUCGGCUCAUCACAUCCUGGGGCUGAAGUAGGUCCCAAGGGUAUGGCUGUUCGCCAUUUAAAGUGGUACGCGAGCUGGGUUUAGAACGUCGUGAGACAGUUCGGUCCCUA
This 555-nucleotide ribosomal RNA is filed under the name Escherichia coli. RNAcentral's name for it is "partial 23S ribosomal RNA". It matches the Rfam family "Bacterial large subunit ribosomal RNA", at positions 2086 to 2640 of the family's 2925-position model. Lineage: Bacteria; Pseudomonadati; Pseudomonadota; Gammaproteobacteria; Enterobacterales; Enterobacteriaceae. The record is from RNAcentral.